GGGCCCGAGUAGACGCAAGGCCUGAAGGAAGGAGGAAUAGAAAGAAGCUCACACCUCUAGAGGUGUGGAGGUUGAGGCUGUUGGAGGUUAAGGAGUGGAGGUUUGGAGGUCAGGGCUGGUCUGGGUUCUGGGUAAUUAGCGCAGGACAAGGGUUGUCGCAGGCCAGUA
Long non-coding RNA from Perognathus longimembris pacificus (Pacific pocket mouse), 168 nucleotides. RefSeq lists it as uncharacterized. The transcript is spliced from 3 exons. The record is from RefSeq and is a predicted model, not a curated record. NCBI's taxonomy places the organism in Eukaryota, Metazoa, Chordata, Mammalia, Rodentia, Heteromyidae.